AACGAACGCUGGCGGCAGGCUUAACACAUGCAAGUCGAACGCCCCGCAAGGGGAGUGGCAGACGGGUGAGUAACACGUGGGAACGUACCCUUUUCUACGGAAUAACCCAGGGAAACUUGGACUAAUACCGUAUGUGCCCUUCGGGGGGAAAGAUUUAUCGGAAAAGGAUCGGCCCGCGUUGGAUUAGCUAGUUGGUGGGG
Molecule: ribosomal RNA, 200 nt
Filed under: uncultured bacterium
Lineage: Bacteria
Description: partial 16S ribosomal RNA
Rfam family: Bacterial small subunit ribosomal RNA
Source: RNAcentral